RNAcentral lists this long non-coding RNA (2169 nucleotides) under Heterocephalus glaber (naked mole-rat). RNAcentral describes it as "lncRNA (ENSHGLG00100051028.1)". Lineage: Eukaryota; Metazoa; Chordata; Mammalia; Rodentia; Bathyergidae. The record is from RNAcentral.
CUUGACUUUGGCAUAGGCUUAGUAUUUGUGCCUGUGUGGCUGCUUUAUUUUUGGUACCGGGGAUUGAACUUGGGACCUUGCGCUUGCACAGCAGGCGCCGGAACCACUGAGCUAAAUCCCCAGCCUGUGGCUUCUUUUUUUUUGAGCUACUGGAACCCAGGGGUGCUCUGCCACUGAGCCACACCCCAGCCCUGUUCAUUUUCUAUUUUGAUACGGAGUCUCGCUGAGGUGCCCAGACUUAGCCUCGAACUUGCAAUCUUCCUGCCUCAGCCUCCUGAGUAGCUGGGAUUGCAGGUGUGUGCUUCCGUGCCCAGCCAGACUUCGUGUGCACAUGGAUUCUUCCGUCUUCCAGGGCCUGUCCUACUCUCUCAGCCUCUAGAGGGGCUGCCAGGCUUGGACUUCACUGCGCCCGCCCCACUGCCUUCGUACUUGUGGGGCUGGUGAGCUGUGAGCCUGCCAGCGGCCAGAGGUAAAGAACAAAGAGGUGCUCCUUGGCCCCUGGCAGCUCUUCAGAGCCCCAUUCCCGGGCCCUGGCCGAGGCUUGUUGUGGUGGAAGUGGUGCAGGUUGCGAUGAAGUCCCAGGUCCCUGAGCCGAGUGCAGGAAGCACCCCCCCCCCAAAGCCCCUCUGCUGUAACCUCGGUCCUGGCAGGGGCCCCGAGGGGGCUGUCUCCUUCCAUGGGGAGCUCAGUGUGUGCCAGGCCUGGGCUCAAUCCCCAACACACACUUGCACAUGUACACACACACACACACACACACAGACACACGUGUGCCUGGAAGAAGACACAGGGAUGUCCCGGGGUGUGGCUCGCCUCUGUGAUGCCCAUGUGUGCUUGUGCAUGUGAGUGUGUGCUUGCAUCAAACAUGCACAGUGGUGCUGGAAGGGCAGGGGGAGUUUGGGGGUGCCCGGCUGUCUGUGAUGGUGUGGGCGGGACGCACACUCAGGUGGUGGUGUGGACCCACUGGCUGUGUGAACUGGAGUGUGUGUCUGGGUGUGAGCUCACGUGGGAUGUGAGCGGGGAUGGAGAUGUUCACAGAGCACGCCUCCCUCAGGGUCCCCUCUGAGGGCCGAAGGCAGCUGUGUGGCACUGCAGAACGGGGGCUAUGUGCUUUGGGGGAUCCACAUUCUGCCCAAAGUCUGCUCCCUCUCCUGGGCAUCUUCCCCCACAUCCCAGGGGCCAAAAAAAAGAAAAUGUCAGUCUGGGCAUGGUGGUGCACGCCUGCAAUCCCAGCACUUGGGAGGCUGAGGCAGGAAGAUCGCUGUGAGUUUGAAGCCAGCCUGGACCGCAUAGUGAGACCCUGUCUCAAACCCCCCCCCGCCCCGUACCAAACCAAACCAAAGGAACCAACAAAGAAAAGAACAAGCUGUGGACACUGAGGCCUCCUCAGCCUACCCUCUGGACCUCGAGCAGCCCCUUGAGCUGCCCAGGACUGUGUGCAGGCUUUAAGCGGGGAGCGGGGGACUUGCCCUCCGGGCCCCGGGCCGGCUGGUGCGGGGUGCGGGGUGCGGGGCUGCGCACAUUUGGUUUCCAUUUCCCUCUCCUCAGCGGAGAGCAAGCCCUGAUGCUGCUGCCAGCGGGGGCUGGGCCUGCGCGGCGGGAAGGGAACGUGGGCGCACAGACGGCUCCCCUGGACUCAGGCGGGGCACCGGCCCCCUCCAAGCUCCUGUCAAAGCCCAUUGUCCUGAGCUCUCUGCCCGCGGAGCCGGAUUCUGCCACCAACUGCUCUGGGAACGGGAGAGAUGGGGCGCCUCUCAGUCCCUUUCUGGGGGACACAGGACUGCACACCAUGGCGGGGUGACCUCUGCUCCAGAGUCAAGCAGGCUCUCAUUAGGUCCUCGCUGUCUUAGUGACCUGGCCCCUCCCGCCCCCCGUCUGAGGGUCCCCGGGGCUGGGGCAGAUUGGGGUCAGAGAGCAGGAGUCGGGGCCCGUGACACAUAAUCAGAACCAUGCUCUGCUGCAGCAGCAGGCACCACCCAGCCCACCGCCCAGGACCUUGGCAACUCCAGCUGCCGGGGAGGGGUGGGGCCGGAGCAGGGCCUGGGCUGGGCUUCUCGGGCCCUUAGGCGGGCUCUGCAGUCAAACAACAUAUUUUCACCAUGCAACGGUAUUUAAUUACACAUAAAAACAGAGCCAUUAAACUGAAAUUAAACCCUUGUUGGAAUCACUUAA